RNAcentral lists this ribosomal RNA (684 nucleotides) under Hohenbuehelia atrocoerulea. RNAcentral's name for it is "eukaryotic LSU rRNA". The stretch from base 283 to 436 matches the Rfam family "5.8S ribosomal RNA". RNAcentral also lists the same sequence under 1 other name. Lineage: Eukaryota; Fungi; Basidiomycota; Agaricomycetes; Agaricales; Pleurotaceae. The record is from RNAcentral.
UUUCCGUAGGUGAACCUGCGGAAGGAUCAUUAUUGAAUUCAACUCGCGAAGUUGUUGCUGGCUCCUCUGGGGCAUGUGCACACUUCGCAAGUCAUUUCAACCACCUGUGAACCUUUUGUAGUCUUGGGAGACGCUAUUAUCAAAGGAAACUUUGGAUUUGAAUGCUGCGGGCUUGCAAAAGUCGGCUUCGUUCUACAGCAGAACCCGGGUCUAUGCUUUAUAUACCCCAAUUGUAUGUCAAUGAAUGUGAUGCAAGGGCUUUCCAGCCUUUAAAUCAAAUACAACUUUCAGCAACGGAUCUCUUGGCUCUCGCAUCGAUGAAGAACGCAGCGAAAUGCGAUAAGUAAUGUGAAUUGCAGAAUUCAGUGAAUCAUCGAAUCUUUGAACGCACCUUGCGCCCUUUGGUAUUCCGAAGGGCAUGCCUGUUUGAGUGUCAUUAAAUUCUCAACCUUGGAAGGCUUUUGAAGUCGUCUUAAGGCUUGGAUCUGGAGGUUGCGGGCUUCAUUACGAAGUCGGCUCCUCUUAAAUGUAUUAGCUGGGUUUGCGCCUUCAGCCUAUUGGUGUGAUAAUUAUCUACGCCUCUGGGUCGUUAGCGUGUUAUACUUCUCUAGCUUCUAACCGUCCCUUGUGGACAACUCUUGACCAUUUGACCUCAAAUCAGGUAGGAUUACCCGCUGAACUUAA